This 246-nucleotide ribosomal RNA is filed under the name uncultured Lactobacillus sp. Its description in RNAcentral is "partial 16S ribosomal RNA". It matches the Rfam family "Bacterial small subunit ribosomal RNA", at positions 116 to 355 of the family's 1533-position model. Lineage: Bacteria; Bacillati; Bacillota; Bacilli; Lactobacillales; Lactobacillaceae. The record is from RNAcentral.
CGUGGGUAACCUGCCCAAGAGAUCGGGAUAACACCUGGAAACAGAUGCUAAUACCGGAUAACAACAGAUGAUGCCUAUCAACUGUUUAAAAGAUGGUUAUGCUAUCACUCUUGGAUGGACCUGCGGUGCAUUAGCUAGUUGGUAGGGUAACGGCCUACCAAGGCGAUGAUGCAUAGCCGAGUUGAGAGACUGAUCGGCCACAUUGGGACUGAGACACGGCCCAAACUCCUACGGGAGGCAGCAGCC